Molecule: ribosomal RNA, 446 nt
Filed under: uncultured bacterium
Lineage: Bacteria
Description: partial 16S ribosomal RNA
Rfam family: Bacterial small subunit ribosomal RNA
Source: RNAcentral
CCUACGGGAGGCAGCAGUCGAGAAUCAUUCACAAUGGGGGAAACCCUGAUGGUGCGACGCCGCGUGGGGGAAUGAAGGUCUUCGGAUUGUAAACCCCUGUCAUGUGGGAGCAAAUUAAAAAGCUCGUACCACAAGAGGAAGAGACGGCUAACUCUGGGCCAGCAGCCGCGGUAAUACAGCGGGCUCAAGCGUUGUUCGGAAUCACUGGGCGUAAGGCGUGCGUAGGCUGUUUCGUAAGUCGUGUGUGAAAGGCGCGGGCUCAACCCGCGGACGGCACAUGAUACUGGGAGUCUAGAGUAGUAGAGGGGGAAGCGGAAUUCGCGGUGUAGCAGUGAAAUGCGUAGAUAUCGAGAGGAACACUCGUGGCGAAGGCGGGUUCCUGGACAUUAACUGACGCUGAGGCACGAAGGCCAGGGGAGCGAAAGGGAUUAGAUACCCGUGUAGUC